CAACAGUUCACACUCCUCAGACACCAAAGAAGGAAGGAAGUGUGUCCUCUGGUUACUCCUCUUGCAGUUUGGAUGCCCUUUCUUUCUGUUGCUCGAUUGCUCUGGCUAGGACUAGUAUUAUGUAAGUGUUCCAUUCAUUAAUUUGCUGAACUGUAGUGGGAAGACAACCCUUCCCCAAACUCCGUUCACUCCAUACCUAAACGGACCAAGCACAUGCUUAGGGCACUAAUGAAACAGGAACACCAAGAUAAUGAGUAAACUUCAGCUUUUGGUGAACUUGGAAUUUUAUAAUCAGAGAUAAUCUAGAAAUAAGCCUUUCUAACUUCAGCAUACAUUAAUAUUUUGGCUUCCCCAGGCCCACUUGCAUCAUGUACUUCUUUCUCAGAUAAACACUCGAGGGACCUGAUGAGACUGAAAACAUCAAACACAGCCUCUGGGACAAGGAAAGUCUUUAAGAACUUUAGGGGUAUAUUAUUCUCAUACUCAAACACAUCUGCAGACCACCAAAGAUACUUCUCCUCGCAUCACUGUGAUCCUCUGGGCACAUCAGUCACAAAGAACCAGGCUUUAAGUCUUCUGAAAAUUAAUAGAAGCAAGAAGGUGACAAAACUCUAUGGACACUCUUGGGCUUAAAUCUUGCCAGUCAAGUGUUUGAUCACAGACAAGAACUGACCCUCUCUGUGCUCACCAAAUGUCAUGCAGAGACUCUAUGACCUACUACCUCCUUGUGUUCUUCCUGCCUCUCUAGCUGUUCAGUUCAGACUUCUUAGGAGGUUCUCAGAGAUACCUCAAACUGCACAAGUCCAGGGGGAGAAUCUAGAACCUUUUCUAUACUGUAGAGGCUUUCUUGAAUGCCUCUUUGUCCCCACUGUAGCUCUUUUUGUUUAAACUUGUCAGUUGAUCUCUUAUGGCAGCCUUGCCCACCUUUGAUUUAUCCCUUAUACCAAGGUUUCUCAAUUUCCACAGUCUUGACAUUUGGUACUAGAUAAUCCUUUGUUGUGGGGGCUGUUAUGUGCAUUGUGAGAUGCUGAGCAGUGUCCCUGGCCUCUACCAGGAGAUGCCAGUAGCAUCCCGAGUUGUGACAAUCAAAAAUGUCUCUAGACAUUGCCAAAUGUCCCUCGGGGCAAAACUGUCACCUAGCUGAGAACCACUUCUCAAUCUGACCCUGAAUUAUCUUUGAGAAACCAAUAUUUACUGCAGUAUACCCUUAAAUAGUUGAGGGCUCCCAUUGUCUAUGAAUAAACUCCCUGGCAUGACAUAUUUUGCCUUUAUUAUAUCAUCCAACACCCCCCACCAGCACAGGCAGUUAGGUACCUUAUCUGCUGCUGACAGUCUCGUCCAGGGUUUGUCUGCCCUCCUGUCAUAGUCCUGCGCUUUUGCUACUUCCACGUAAUCACUGAAUCGUAUCAGAAUUUUUCUGUCUCUUAAUUCAUCAACAGUGGGUCUCUGAUUAAGCUAAAAUUAAAGAUCAUCAUAGUUAAGUAUCACAUGCCAAACUAGCUUUUUUGAAGUACUCUGAACAAACAGCACUUCUCUUAAAAAACAAAACAAAACAAAAAAAACCUGAAACUGGAAAAUAUAACCCAAAUACAAGCAAUCUCUAAUGUGAAGGGCUGAAAUUAUAUACUGUACUCUUAAAUCACAAUCCCCCUUCCUCCAACAUAUUUUAUCAGAAGGAGUCACACCCCCAGUAGUACAUAGCACCAGCUCAAGGAAUGGUUAGUGAAUUAACUUAGAUUUUAUGGCAUCACUGGCUUCAGAUACAAUUAGAUAAGCUUUUUAAAAGUACUAAUAAAGUUAUUAUAUGUCCAGCUUAGGAAGGAUAUUCUGUUAAUUUCAAGAGAAUUAUUAUGGAGCAGCACAACGAAGAAGGGGAAUCCAGAACACUUGAAUUUAGAAAUGGUCAAGGCUUUAAAAGUAGAUUAAGAUUUAUAGAGUUGCUACCUGUAUUGGCCAUAGUAAAUGUUAACUGUUUGAGUCACAGAGAACAAACCUUUGAGUCUAAUAAAGCUUUCUGCAACUGAGGAACUUCUAGACAUAUUGGAGGUGAACAAAAGCGAUGAGUGUAAAAUGUGACUAAAACACUGAUACCCAGGUAUGCUUUUCCUAGACACUGUAAAUUAAGAAAAUGCCAAUCAACUUCUGGCUUCCACCUGAACAUAAGUAAAAAAUGUCAUGUGCAUUGUGCACCUCUCCAAGUGCUACCGUGCUAGGGAAGGACUUCGUCCAUAGGGAACGUCAGAGGGAGUUAAUUCAUUGUUGCUGAGCAAAUAUCCUGAUUUAACUGAUGCCAUGAUGUCCAGGAGAACAUUAUUCAUGAUCACAGAGUGAUACCUAGCAUUACCCAUCCCACCUGCUACCGAAGCAGCUGUUCUCUAGACCACCUUUUAUUAUUCAGGCAAUAAAAUGCUUAUACUACCUUUCUUGUCAAUCUUUGCUUGAUUUCUCUUCUUUCUUCCUGCUCUGUCUGAUCAUUCCUUUCUGUGAAAGAUUAAAAUAGGAAAAAAAAAAUAACAAAGAGAAACAGGUUGAAACGUUCUUCUCUUCAGCAGGGAAGUGUUCCCAAGAUAUCCAUAUUUCUGGGAGCUGAAGUUAAUUCCACAUCACUCAUGGUGUUUUCUUCCCACUUUGUCAGUCACUGCUCAGGAGAUCAUGGUCUCAUUACACAGAAAUACUUGUACUAAGCAAAGCUUUGCUGUCAUCCCAACCUGGUCUCCUCAGCCCUUCUGUGCAUUAGAAACAACCACAGAUAUGGCUGCUGUUUGUUUAAGGAAGUAGACACCUCUGUGUCUGUCUUUCUCCCCAAAUAUCUUUAUAUUUACAUCUAGCACUUAGAUGCCACAUAAAAAAAGCUGUAGUAGACUAAGUAAAUAAAUGUAUAUGUACAUUUCAAUAUAAAUAGCACUGCCACUAAUUUUUUUCCUUAAUAAGCGUACAGACUUUUUAACCAACAUAAAACAUGGAACACCUUCUUCAGCUCCUGGGCAGCAUAUGCUUGCCUGGAAUUUAUAUGUUCAGACUAUAUUUCAAAUCUUAACACAUCUAUGAACCUCGCUGACUCUCCAUUGCUGAAGCGUGAACACUGUUAUAUGACAGUGCCUUUUAAAGGAGCCCAAGUCCCUCAGCAAAAUUAGCUUUGCUUGGUAAGUUGUGACUAUUAACAUUCAAGCUGUGCUCGCACCUACCCUUGGAAGCCAAAAAUAGACGAAAGUGCUGAGAUAUAGUAUAAAACGUAAGCUUCCCCCUGGGAUACAAGAUAAUGGCUGUCCUAUUUCUGGUGUUCUCUGUUGCUAAAUAAAGCCUUAUGUCCCUGACCUGAACAUAGCUCCAUUCCUAGGAAAGAGAUUUCAACAAUCAGCACUCCUAGAAACACUGGUAGGUUUUGGUAAGGGAAAUCCUGCCACUUGCAAUUAACACAAUUUCACAUUAUCUGCCUUUAUGUAAAAGAUGCGUUUCAAAUAUUUAUACAUUUGUGGGAUUGGUUAUAUGAGAGUUUAAUAUAUUGUGCUUUCCAGUAAUUUUUUUUAAGUGAGUCAUCUUGGAUUAGGGUGUUUUAGAAAAGGUAAUGAAAUCCUCUUUCUGCUUAAUUCUUUAUACAAGUGAGAAACCAGAAGAAACCAUACUUUUAAGGUAUCAUCAGAAAGCUGAUACAAUUAGAGAGACAUUGUGAAAGUGUCCAGACAAGGCAAGCCAUGAGGGAUUUACGUGACGUAAAAUGUUUCAGAUUUCUUUAAAAUAGGCCAUGGGCAGCUCCCAAGUGCAGCUUCCAUGUGAAAAGAUUGAAACAAAGUCAGAUCUUUUUUUUUUUUUUAAUCCUGAAAAAUGCCAUAAUUACUACGAAGGUCACCAGCAGGGUCUUUGGAGAACUGAUCUUUGAAAGUUCCUGUCAGAGUGCUGCUUUGUGCCAGGCGCUCUGUUGGAGACCUCCUCCAAGAAGUCCUCCCUGUUAGCCUAAGCCCACAGACCUCCCCUUCUGAGCUCCCCUUAGUGAUAUGUUUAUGGAUUUCUUAUUUCCAGACCCAGAACACCCUCUGCAUUAUACAAAGCAAGGGACCCAUAAUCAGGACUGCUAUACUCAUAUUUUCUGGAAAUAGCUCCAGCAGCUUGGACAGUUAUACCUGAGACUUCCAUGAAUAUCCAGAAAUGUAUUACUGCUUCUGAUGCAGUAGUUAAGAAGAUGGGCAAUGGAGUUAGGCAGACCUGGGGUUGAACUCUAGUGCUAUCCUUUUCCCAAUAUUCAUUUAUUAAAAAGUGCAAACCUCACAAAUAUGUUGCAAUGAUUAAAUGAGGGAAUAUAUACCAAGUACUGAAUAUAGUCCCUGGCACAGAUUGGGCCUAAUAAAGAAUUACCAUCACCAUAUAAAGGGACCCCUGCUCUUCUGCUUUUCUAUCCACGUUAUAGUGUUAUAUGGGCGGAGUUUUGAGUGCUCCUCAGAUAUGACUGCAGUUAGUCAUGAGUUCCCCCUUGAAGCAAAUACAAAAGUGAUAUUCUAAGAAUUGGUUACAAGAAGAAAAUACAAUACAGUAUGAGUGCUUGAAGUCCUGUGUAUCUAGAGCCUAUGAGUAUGAUGUUUCAUACUAGGCUAUAUAUAGUUACCCUAUUCUCAUCUCCACAGAACAAAAGUAAAACCAAACACCCACCACAAACCUAGCAGUAAAAUUCUCAGGUCCUUCCACUCAGGACACUAGAGAGGGCUUCCGAGCUAAGGACAAACCUACAUUCACUGAUGAAGGCACAGUGUUUAUGGCGGGAUUGCCAUGGCCACCGCAGAGGAAACCCAUUUUCCCUUUCAUGCACUGAAGGUAAGGGCAGUCAGUUUCAGUUAUGCAUUUGCUAGCUCCCUAUUCACCAAAGAUAGUUCUAUUUCUAAGGCUCUGAUAUUUAUUUCCAAAGAUUAACACAAUUAGAAGUACUUGCUGAUGGGAAGACCUGGUUGCCCACGAUAGGAAGGAAGAGGCUGCUACUGAAAGAAGACAUGGUUCCUGGGUUAAAGGUCUGGGCUGUAGUACUCUCUUCCUGUUGCUGACAGCAGGCUACUUGGAAUGUGGUGCUUCCUGUGUCUUGAACUUGCCUGGUUCAAGUCUGGACUGCUACUUUUAGUAGCAUCUGCAACUUACAAGCUUUAUAAAUAAGUGACUUAAUUUUUAAAAAUUCAAAUAUUUGGCAACUGAAACAGCUUGACUUUUCUGUCUGCCUACUUAAUUAAGCAUGUUAUCAAUGAAGAGCUUUUCUUUAAAUCCUCAGAGAUGGUAUAGUUAACAUAGAACAGUAGUCACUAUAUCUUAAGUUUAAAAAGUAAAAUGAAGAAGUCUUUAUCUGAGGGUUAUUUUCAACAAUCUAUAAAGGAGGGGAUUGUUUUAGGCAGUUAAUGAAGGCACUGAGGCAAAGAAAGGAGGGAGGAAUCAAUUCAAGUUCAGUACCCAGACCAACAAGGGGCUCUGCGGUAUUUUCUGACAGAAAGUCAGCUUGGUACCAUUAUAACUUCAUAAAAAGAUGUUCACAAAUAAGAAAACAAACUCAGAGAAAGUCUGCAGUAUUCAUCACAUAAAGAGAAAAAAAGUCCUUUAAAAAUCCAAGCCAUUAGAAGACACUUUCUGUGGAAAAUGUUUUAAAAACUGAAAAUGACUAGAUAAAGAACUAUUGGAGAAACACUUUUUCAAGAGGUUUGGCCACCCCUAAAUCACUGACUUUAUGGAAUAUUUAAUGGAAUAUAGUGCCCUAGAGCAUGGAGGUUACUCAUGAACACCUAUGCUCAGCAUAUGCUAUAAUUGUCCACCUAACGGGAAAUGCAAGGGGUUGCAAGGCUGGGAGCAACAGAGGGUCCUGGAACCUCAAAGUCCUGAGCCACAGGAAAGCUUCUCAUGGCUUCACCGUUUCCCUGAGCUGACUGCUUUAUUCCUCCCAAGUGUAACAGGCAAGGGGCGUGUCCUUCUCUAGUGUGUUCAUGCGGUUCAUGCUUUGUGAUUUCUAUAGCCAUGAAGAACCCCGACCCAAACUGCCAGGAAGACCUGCUUGAAACCUAACGCACUUAGACAUAUGGGACUAACCCUGAAAAUAAAAACAUCUUUAUGCUAAGAGGAAAGGAGUUUUUUUAAAUUAAAAAAAAUGUUUCUAGGUAUAUCAGCUUUCCUUUGGGGCUUGCUUUCAGAAUUCAGCAGCAGCUCAGGUUUACUGGGAGCAUGGAGCAUUCCGCUUGCAGAGAAGGGCUGGGUUAUGGGAACUCAGGAUUUGUGCAACAGCCUCACCACACGUGAAGGAAAACCUCUAGAGGAAUCACCAGCUACUCACGUUUCAAGAUAUUUCUUCUCUCCAGCUCUUCCACGGCAGGUCUUUGGCUCAGCCGUCUGCGGAAAAACACUAAAAUUACAUUUUGCACCAUAGUGG
RNAcentral lists this long non-coding RNA (6385 nucleotides) under Homo sapiens (human). RNAcentral describes it as "HSALNT0269936". Lineage: Eukaryota; Metazoa; Chordata; Mammalia; Primates; Hominidae. The record is from RNAcentral.